UACGGAGGAUCCGAGCGUUAUCCGGAAUUACUGGGCGUAAAGAGUUGCGUAGGUGGCAGUGUAAGUUUGUAGUGAAAGCGUGUGGCUCAACCACAUAAACAUUAUGAAAACUGCACAGCUAGAGGAUGAGAGAGGUUAUUGGAAUUCCCAGUGUAGGAGUGAAAUCCGUAGAUAUUGGGAGGAACACCGAUGGCGUAGGCAGAUAACUGGCUCAUUCCUGACACUAAGGCACGAAAGCGUGGGGAGCAAACGGG
Molecule: ribosomal RNA, 254 nt
Filed under: uncultured bacterium
Lineage: Bacteria
Description: partial 16S ribosomal RNA
Rfam family: Bacterial small subunit ribosomal RNA
Source: RNAcentral